RNAcentral lists this non-coding RNA (23 nucleotides) under Arabidopsis thaliana (thale cress). Lineage: Eukaryota; Viridiplantae; Streptophyta; Magnoliopsida; Brassicales; Brassicaceae. The record is from RNAcentral.
UUUUUCAGUGUCAAAGCAUAACA